Molecule: ribosomal RNA, 601 nt
Filed under: uncultured Burkholderia sp.
Lineage: Bacteria; Pseudomonadati; Pseudomonadota; Betaproteobacteria; Burkholderiales; Burkholderiaceae
Description: bacterial SSU rRNA
Rfam family: Bacterial small subunit ribosomal RNA
Source: RNAcentral
CGGAACAUGUCCUGUAGUGGGGGAUAGCCCGGCGAAAGCCGGAUUAAUACCGCAUACGAUCUGAGGAUGAAAGCGGGGGACCUUCGGGCCUCGCGCUAUAGGGUUGGCCGAUGGCUGAUUAGCUAGUUGGUGGGGUAAAGGCCUACCAAGGCGACGAUCAGUAGCUGGUCUGAGAGGACGACCAGCCACACUGGGACUGAAACACGGCCCAGACUCCUACGGGAGGCAGCAGUGGGGAAUUUUGGACAAUGGGCGAAAGCCUGAUCCAGCAAUGCCGCGUGUGUGAAGAAGGCCUUCGGGUUGUAAAGCACUUUUGUCCGGAAAGAAAUCCUUGGUUCUAAUAUAGCCGGGGGAUGACGGUACCGGAAGAAUAAGCACCGGCUAACUACGUGCCAGCAGCCGCGGUAAUACGUAGGGUGCAAGCGUUAAUCGGAAUUACUGGGCGUAAAGCGUGCGCAGGCGGUUUGCUAAGACCGAUGUGAAAUCCCCGGGCUCAACCUGGGAACUGCAUUGGUGACUGGCAGGCUAGAGUAUGGCAGANGGGGGUAGAAUUCCACGUGUAGCAGUGAAAUGCGUAGAGAUGUGGAGGAAUACCGAUGGC